CUGAAAAAUCAGGCUUCUGAGAGCGUGAGGGGAAUGAACAAGUAACAAAACAGAAAGUGCAGCCCUUUCCUCUGAAACAGUGCAGCGGUGGCCCUGGAAUGGAGAUAGGCGGCAGAACGUAGUUGAUCUUCGUGGAGAUUGCAGAGCAAGCCAGGUUUUGGAGUCUUUAAAUGACAUGUUACAGUGACCAAAGUAUAAAGCUGGAAGUUUGGUGUCUGGAAGCUGGAAGCCCCACUUUUGGUGCAGUUAAAAUGUAGGAAUAUGAGCAGCUUGGAAAUACUUGUGGGCAUCAGAUACAGCUGUGCCUCCUUCACAUUACCCUGGCCUGGGACAUCUUGAUACAAAAUCAGAUUACUGCCUGUGUAUCUGUAUAAUAUUAAAAGGAAAAGAACUGCACCAAACACACACCGAGUGAUGAGGCAACCUGACCAGUACUCUGUUCUUUCGCAAGUUGAGCUAGGAAGCCUGGAGAAGAUUAGAGAGUAAAUUAUGUGCUUGUUUCUAUUUCCUGUUGGGAGUGCCUCUCUGUUGAUAUGCAUUGUUUGCUCCUGCACCUGCUCUCUUU
This 565-nucleotide long non-coding RNA is filed under the name Gallus gallus (chicken). Its description in RNAcentral is "long non-coding RNA NONGGAT008311". The record is from RNAcentral. Lineage: Eukaryota; Metazoa; Chordata; Aves; Galliformes; Phasianidae.